AGUGAACGCUGGCGGUAGGCCUAACACAUGCAAGUCGAACGGCAGCACAGUAAGAGCUUGCUCUUACGGGUGGCGAGUGGCGGACGGGUGAGGAAUACAUCGGAAUCUACUUUUUCGUGGGGGAUAACGUAGGGAAACUUACGCUAAUACCGCAUACGACCUACGGGUUAAAUCAGGGGAUCUUCGCACCUUGCCCGAUUGAAUGAGCCGAUGUCGGAUUAGCUAGUUGGCAGGGUAAAGGCCCACCAAGGCGACGAUGCGUAGCUGGUCUGAGAGGAUGAUCAGCCACACUGGAACUGAGACACGGUCCAGACUCCUACGGGAGGCAGCAGUGGGGAAUAUUCGGCAAUGGGCGAAAGCCUGACGCAGCAACGCCGCGUGAGUGAAGAAGGUCUUCGGAUCGUAAAGCUCUGUUAUUAGGGAAGAACAGAAGUGGGUGUAACUAUGGACGUCUUGACGGUACCUAAUCAGAAAGCCACGGCUAACUACGUG
This 492-nucleotide ribosomal RNA is filed under the name uncultured bacterium. RNAcentral describes it as "partial 16S ribosomal RNA". It matches the Rfam family "Bacterial small subunit ribosomal RNA", at positions 29 to 507 of the family's 1533-position model. The record is from RNAcentral.